Molecule: long non-coding RNA, 275 nt
Organism: Eurytemora carolleeae
Lineage: Eukaryota; Metazoa; Arthropoda; Copepoda; Calanoida; Temoridae
Exons: 2
Source: RefSeq, a predicted model, not a curated record
GCUUAACAUUGUUUACUUGUCAGGGCCCGGUUGCUGGAAACUUUUACAGGGUUGGGUAUAGUCCCGGGAAUACGGAAUAUUAUAUAUGCUACUUUUCCGCUUGUUCAGGUAACACAUUCCCAAUCCCACUGGCCGGGAUUAAUGAUAAACCGGUAUCAGAGUGUUGAAUGACAAGGCCCCAGAUUUUAAACGACAAAAUAGAAGUUUAAUUAAAUAUACACAUUAUACAAUAUAGCAGAAGAAUCGUUUAUUAAAUACAUAUAUUUUGACAUUCA